AGGGUUCGAUUCUGGCUCAGGAUGAACGCUGGCGGCGUGCUUAACACAUGCAAGUCGAACGGAGAUAUUGAGAGCUUGCUUUAGAUAUCUUAGUGGCGGACGGGUGAGUAACGCGUGGGUAACCUACCCUGUACAGGGGGAUAGCAGUUGGAAACGACUGAUAAAACCGCAUAAAACGGCAGUACCGCAUGGUACAACCGUCAAAUAUUCAUAGGUACAGGAUGGGCCCGCGUCUGAUUAGCUAGUUGGUGGGGCAACGGCCUACCAAGGCGACGAUCAGUAGCCGGCCUGAGAGGGUGAACGGCCACAUUGGGACUGAGACACGGCCCAAACUCCUACGGGAGGCAGCAGUGGGGAAUAUUGGACAAUGGGGGAAACCCUGAUCCAGCGAACCGCCGCGUGAGUGAAGAAGUAUUUCGGUAUGUAAAGCUCUAUCAGCAGGGAAGAUGAUGACGGUACCUGACUAAGAGGCACCGGCUAAAUACGUGCCAGCCGCCGC
Molecule: ribosomal RNA, 499 nt
Filed under: uncultured bacterium
Lineage: Bacteria
Description: bacterial SSU rRNA
Rfam family: Bacterial small subunit ribosomal RNA
Source: RNAcentral